CCUACGGGAGGCAGCAGUGGGGAAUAUUGCUCAAUGGGGGAAACCCUGAAGCAGCAACGCCGCGUGAGGGAUGAAGGUUUUCGGAUUGUAAACUCCUUUUGUUAGGGAAGAUAAUGACGGUAUCUGACGAAUAAGCACCGGCUAACUCCGUGCCAGCAGCCGCGGUAAUACGGAGGGUGCAAGCGUUACUCGGAAUCACUGGGCGUAAAGAGCGCGUAGGCGGGAUAGCAAGUCAGAUGUGAAAUCCUAUGGCUUAACCAUAGAACUGCAUUUGAAACUGUUAUUCUAGAGUAGGGGAGAGGUAGGUGGAAUGCUUGGUGUAGGGGUAAAAUGCGUAGAGAGCAAGAGGAAUACUGAUUGCGAAGGCGACCUGCUAGAACAUAACUGACGCUGAGGCGCGAAAGCGUGGGGAGCAAACAGGAUUAGAUACCCGAGUAGUC
This 440-nucleotide ribosomal RNA is filed under the name uncultured bacterium. RNAcentral's name for it is "partial 16S ribosomal RNA". It matches the Rfam family "Bacterial small subunit ribosomal RNA", at positions 338 to 795 of the family's 1533-position model. The record is from RNAcentral.